RNAcentral lists this long non-coding RNA (698 nucleotides) under Homo sapiens (human). Its description in RNAcentral is "HSALNT0312659". Lineage: Eukaryota; Metazoa; Chordata; Mammalia; Primates; Hominidae. The record is from RNAcentral.
CUAGCCUGGGCGACAAGAGCAAAACUCAGUCUCAAAAAAAAAAAAAAAAAAAAAAAAAAAAAAAGAAAUAAAAAGAAAAAGAAAAAGAAAAUGAAAAAGAAAAGAAAGGAAAGCCAAAAGGGGUUUAGUUUCUGUCCCAGUUAUUUUUUUCUGUUCCUGUCUCCAGGACCAAAUGAACUCAAGGCUAAUUACAGAGACAAAAUACUAGUCACUUCUCUCAGAGUGAAAAGAAAAGAACAGAAAAUGUGAUUUAAAGCUCAACUUUAAGCGUGAAUAACAGAUUAGACAAUGUGCCAUAAAGGAACUCGUUAAACAGUGAAGUAUGACAUUUUGGACGGUUCUGAAUAUUCUUUGGAAAUUUUGAGAAUCCAAGUUUUUUUCUCAUAUGUGUGAUUAUUAAAGGGAAAAAUGUGGAUAGUACUGGGAUUGGAAUCACAUAGGUUUUAAUUCAUAUUAAGGUUUAAAUGUUGAGUCUAAUUAUUUGAUCACCUUUUGGGUAUCAUCUAGUUCUUAAUAUACUCCUUUUGUUUUUGUUUUGUUUUGUUUUGUUUUGUUUUUGAGAUGGAGUUUUUCUCUUGUUGCCCAAACUAGAGCGCAGUGGCGUGAUCUCAGCUCACUGCAACCUCCGCCUCCCUGGUUCAAGUGAUUCUCCUGCCUCAGCCUCCAGAGUAGCUGGGAUUACAGGCACACGCCACCAU